RNAcentral lists this long non-coding RNA (1980 nucleotides) under Malus domestica (apple). RNAcentral describes it as "long non-coding RNA (MDOM_LNC013791)". The record is from RNAcentral. Lineage: Eukaryota; Viridiplantae; Streptophyta; Magnoliopsida; Rosales; Rosaceae.
UAAGCUUUGUGAAGAACAACAAGAACUAAAAUACUUGCCUGCUGUUUGGUCUCAUGCAAACACAACAACAACAACAACAACAACAAAGCCUUUUCCCACUAAGUGGGGUCGGCUAUAUGAAUCCUAGAACGCCAUUGCGCUCGGUUUUGUGUCAUGUCCUCCGUUAGAUCCAAGUACUCUAAGUCUUUUCUUAGAGUCUCUUCCAAAGUUGUCCUAGGUCUUCCUCUACCCCUUCGGCCCUGAACCUCUGUCCCGUAGUCACAUCUUCGAACCGGAGCGUCAGUCGGCCUUCUUUGCACAUGUUCAAAAUCACCGGAGCCGAUUUUCUCUCAUAUUUCCUACAAUUUCGGCUACUCCUACUUUACCUCGGAUAUCCUCAUUCCCAAUCUUAUCCUUUCUCGUGUGCCCACACAUCCCACGAAGCAUCCUCAUCUCCGCUACACCCAUUUUGUGUACGUGUUGAUGCUUCACCACCCAACAUUCUGUGCCAUACAACAUCGCUAGCCUUAUUGCCGUCCUAUAAAAUUUUCCCUUGAGCUUCAGUGGCCUACGACGGUCACACAACACGCCGGAUGCACUCUUUCCAUCCAGCUCGUAUUCUAUGGUUGAGAUCUCCAUCUAAUUCUCCGUUCUCUUGCAAGAUAGAUCCUAGGUAGCGAAAACGAUCGCUUUUUGUGAUCUUCGCUAGAUUGCUCCGGUCAUUAGUGUGGAUAAGUAUAUAAAUGGAUAGAGAUAGGAAAGCAAACACAAGAUGUACGUGGUUCACCCAGAUUGGCUACGUCCACGGAAUAGAAGAGUUCUCAUUAAUUGUGAAGGGUUUACACAAGUACAUAGGUUCAAGCUCUCAUUUAGUGAGUACAAGUGAAUGAUUUAGUACAAAUGACAUUAGGAAAUAUUGUGGGAGAAUGAUCUCGUAAUCACGAAACUUCUAAGUAUCGGAGUGUGGUGUCGUCUUGACUUGCCUUAUCUGUCUCAUAGGUAGAUGUGGCAUCUUCUCUGGAAGUACUCUUCCUCCAUCCAGGGGUGAUAUCUUUAACUGGUGGAGAUGCACAAGGUAAUGUAUCAAUUUCACUUGAAGCUUACUUGUAGUUUCAGGCUUGGUCAAGCGCGAUACAAACCAUGUAGUAGGAGUCCCCCAAGUCGCCGAGUUAGGGGGUCUGCUGAAAGAGGUGACAGACAAGGUAAGCAAUCAGAGCUCCGACUGAUUGUUCACCUUCUCCCCAUCUUGCAGCAGCAUGAAGGAUAAAGAGAAGAAAAAUGAGAAGAGAUGAUAUGAGAUACUUUUGCUUUUGAAGAAGUAACUUUCCACAGGCUUAUUCUUGAACUGAGCUGGAGGGUUUUCUGGUUUCCUCCAGAGUAUAAGGCCGACUGAAGAAUUUGAGGGUCAAAACAAGUCCAUCAAAUCUAGAGUACGUUCCACCCUGCUGAUAUGUGAUACUUUUGCUUUUGACAGAGUAAUGAAUGUAUCGGCACGUGUGCUGUUACGCUUGUCUCCACAUGCUUCCUUGUAUCCUUCGCACUUGCCCUAUCUGUUCCUCAAGCAGAUGCGGAAUCUUCCCUGGAAACAUAAGAUGUUGAAGAUGAGUACUCGAGAGCAAUGCCAGGUAAGUAAUUAGGUAAGGGGUUCCAGGCAAACACAAUACAUCAAAAUCUUCCACAUGGGAAAACAGGAAAGUAGAGAUUCCCUGAAAAUAAACAUUCAAUGAUCCAAAUAUCAAAAGAUAGAAAGCAUUACAAAGGGUAGUGGCAAAGUGAAAAUAAACAUAAAAACAAUAAUUACUUCAAACAGAAAGUGCUGCACAAGAAAAUUGAACUGACUGAAACAGCUUUUAUUCUAUAGAAUUUUCAUUAAUUGAAUGAAUGAAUUAAUCAUGUAUGAACAAUUAGACGAGUGUUACAAAAAAUGACAUCAUAUGAACUAGUUUACAUUCAACUAAUCUAUCCAAAACAUAUAUAACUAUUCUAACUAACAGAGACAUU